This 500-nucleotide ribosomal RNA is filed under the name uncultured bacterium. Its description in RNAcentral is "partial 16S ribosomal RNA". It matches the Rfam family "Bacterial small subunit ribosomal RNA", at positions 30 to 523 of the family's 1533-position model. The record is from RNAcentral.
AUUGAACGCUGGCGGAAUGCUUUACACAUGCAAGUCGAACGGCAGCACGGACUUCGGUCUGGUGGCGAGUGGCGAACGGGUGAGUAACAUAUCGGAACGUAUCCAAUAAUGGGGGAUAACGAGUCGAAAGAUUCGCUAAUACCGCAUACGCCCUACGGGGGAAAGCUGGGGACCUUCGGGCCUGGCGUUAAUGGAGCGGCCGAUAUCUGAUUAGCUAGUUGGUGAGGUAAAGGCUCACCAAGGCGACGAUCAGUAGCUGGUCUGAGAGGACGACCAGCCACACUGGAACUGUGACACGGUCCAGACUCCUACGGGAGGCAGCAGUGGGGAACUUUGGACAAUGGGCGCAAGCCUGAUCCAGCCAUUCCGCGUGAGUGAAGAAGGCCUUCGGGUUGUAAAGCUCUUUCGCAAGGGAAGAAAACUUAGCCACUAACAUUGGUUGAGGUUGACGGUACCUUGAUAAGAAGCACCGGCUAACUACGUGCCAGCCGCCGCUGUAA